Oncorhynchus keta (chum salmon) is the source of this 650-nucleotide long non-coding RNA. RefSeq lists it as uncharacterized. The record is from RefSeq and is a predicted model, not a curated record. The transcript has 4 exons. NCBI's taxonomy places the organism in Eukaryota, Metazoa, Chordata, Actinopteri, Salmoniformes, Salmonidae.
GACUAGGUCUAUACUGCUCCUACAUGGUGUAACAAUACAUCAUGUAGAUGUAUAUAAUGAACAGACUAGGUCUAUACUGCUCCUGCAUGGUGUAACAAUACAUCAUGUAUAUAAUGAACAGACUAGGUCUAUACUGCUCCUACAUGGUGUAACAAUACAUCAUGUAUAUAAUGAACAGACUAGGUCUAUACUGCUCCUACAUGGUGUAACAAUACAUCAUGUAGAUGUAUAUAAUGAACAGACUAGGUCUAUACUGCUCCUACAUGGUGUAACAAUACAUCAUGUAGAUGUAUAUAAUGAACAGACUAGGUCUAUACUGCUCCUACAUGGUGUAACAAUACAUCAUGUAUAUAAUGAACAGACUAGGUCUAUACUGCUCCUACAUGGUGUAACAAUACAUCAUGUAGAUGUAUAUAAUGAACAGACUAGGUCUAUACUGCUCCUACAUGGUGUAACAAUACAUCAUGUAGAUGUAUAUAAUGAACAGACUAGGUCUAUACUGCUCCUACAUGGUGUAACAAUACAUCAUGUAGAUGUAUAUAAUGAACAGACUAGGUCUAUACUGCUCCUACAUGGUGUAACAAUACAUCAUGUAGAUGUAUAUAAUGAACAGACUAGGUCUAUACUGCUCCUACAUGGUGUAACAAUAC